Long non-coding RNA from Gallus gallus (chicken), 2054 nucleotides. Lineage: Eukaryota; Metazoa; Chordata; Aves; Galliformes; Phasianidae. The record is from Ensembl.
UAAUACAUCACUUUACUUUUCAUGAUUCAGCCAAUUUCUAUAAGUGGAAAUCCUAAAAGCACUUAAAGAGGUUUGAACCAAUACACUACUGUGGACACUGGCCUUCAUUUUUAUGAGCACACUUUAUAGCAGACCUGUUCAAAGCCUACCUCUGGCUUAUGUGGAUUUAUGUCAAGGUGGUGGUGUUCUUGGGUUUCCAAAUGGUAUCCACAGUCUGAUAUUCUUUCUUCCAUGUCAGCUGUCCAUGAGGUCACACCUCUUCCCAGCGGGUACAGCCUGAGUCAUGGUGAGCUACACACUUGCUCCCUUUUUCAGCAAUUUGCUGAACGUGGGACUGAAGAUGAACUGCAAUGAACUCCAGAAGGUCAAGGUCAUGUGCAAGAAAACCUCUCUAGUUAAAUCCAUCCAUUUAAAAACACCAUUAGGUCACAAAAAGCAGCCUCAGUGUGCCAGGGGGCUUCAUUUGAAAAUAUGUGCCUGGGUCCAGCUUCUGUAGAUCUGCUCUGCGAAGUGAUGCUUUGCAAGAUAUGCUCUAGUACUCUUCUAUGAAAUCUUUCAUUUGCUUUUGAUACCUGUUUUCACCCUUUCAGAUGCUACCAGGUUUCAGUGCACAUCGCAUUUCUAAUAAGAAAGGAAACAAGCAAGUGCUGAUGUGUGGCACGUAAUUGCAACAAUUCCGACUACAUUUGUCUAAUGGGGAUGAAUAACGCUUUUCAGCAAGGUAUACACUGAGGAAUAAUGAAAACAGGGCUGAAACGCAUUCCACAACUGGGAUCCUAUCAAACAUAUAUUUAAGUUUCACUUUAAUUUGUUACAGUACACUGUUGAAAUGUAACAGCGUUUAGAGAUUACUGAGCAGAUGCUAAUGUGGUUCAAACAGACAAUAUCAAUAAUCCUGAUAUUACUUAAUAACACAUGUUUUCCCUUCAAAGACUUCUAAUGCGGAGCAAGAAACAUACUGCAGUACUGAUAUGGAUUUGCUUGCAAUGCAGCAGUACCUGCACCCAUGGCACGGGGAGAGGCAGCAGUCACCUGCACAAGGUGCAGCACUGUGUGUUUGGCCAUUUCAUCUUUGGGGAAAACCUAAAACAUUAGCAUCGUUUCUAAUUAAGAAAUGAGUCAUUUGCACUUCCCACUACUCUUAUACACAACACAUUUUAACAGCAGUAGCAAUGGCUCUUCUCACCGUGAGCUUCCAAGAAGUUGCAGAUGGUCUGUCACCAGCAAAGAGCAAAUCACCUCUGAUAAAUCACUUUGUCUCCUGGUCUUCCACACAUACCUUGACCUAGCUGCAAUACGCCGAAGCCAAGGAAAAUACAGCUAGACAGACAGCAAAUCCUCUAAUCGAAGGAGCAAAAAUCCCCAUUCACCAGGUCCUUGGGAAUAGAAAUUCCACGUUGAAACAACUGCUUUGCAUUUUCAAAUGACACGACGUUACAUACUUUGGAAAGGCACUGCUGGAUCGGCUGGUGCUGAUUUUACAUCUGCUAAGCAGUGAUUUACUUUGGAAGCAGUCAGAUUUUUUUUUUUUCCAAGGGUUCUGUUGAUGUGUGGAUGUCACAUGCUGUCCCGUAAUAAAAAGCACAUUUUCUGCAAUUCUGUAAGAAUCACAAUUCAUAAUACUUUAUAUUCAAAAGGUUUUUAAUGAAGUGUCACAUUAUUGCUACUUGCAUUGCUUUCUCAUUAUGGACCAAACUUUCAGAUGAGCUCACAGAUACAUUUUCAAGUGCUCAGUAUUCUCCAGAGUUUAAAAAGACCUCAGCUUUAUUUUAGCACCUAAAAAAAAAAAAAAAAAAGAGCUGGUAUGUCAGCAGUGCUCAGAGAUGAUCUUUCUUAAUAAAUGCCCAAUGCAUCUGAAACAACAGCAAGCAUACAUGCCACCGUAUGUACUCUAAUCACGUCGUUUUAACACAGUGUCCCAAAAAGGGGUAUACAGAAAUGACUGCAUCUUUCCCCAUUACAAUAUCUGAAAAGCUCAGCUAUUUCAUUGCAACCCAUUUGUAGGUUUGCAAAAACAAUCCUACAUAUAUAAAAAAAGAGGUCCUCAGAUUCAA